GGCAACCUGCUUGGGUCCCUUUCCACACCGCGGAAGCUUUGUUCUUUUGCUCUUUGCAAUAAAUCUUGCUGCUGCUCACUCUUUGGGUCCACACUGCCUUUAUGAGCUGUAACACCGCGAAGGUCCACAGCUUCACUCCUGAGCCAGCGAGACCACGAACCCCACCAGAAGGAAGAAUCUGUGAACACAUCCGAACAUCAGAAGGAACAAACUCUAGACAUGCCGCCUUUAAGAACUGCAACACUCACUGCGAGUGUCCGCGGCUUCAUUCUUGAAGUCAGUGAGACGAAGAACCCACCAAUUCCAGACACAUUUUGGCGACCUAGAUGGGACAAUCGCCUAUCACCGAGUGGUGAGACCAUCGCCUAUAGCUGAGCGGCGAGACAAUCACCUAUCGCCAAGCAAAUGAGCAAACAGUUGUCUUCACCAUCCCAGACAAGCAGAUGAAUGGUGAAACGAUACAGCAGAGAAAGAGAGAAGAGGAACAUUUGAACGCCGAGAGGAGUUCAGCCGAGGGUGGUCGGAGAGGUUUGGCCACCCAGCAGGAAGAUUAUCUUCCCGUGCCAUCCCCGCUUCCAGCUCUGCAUCCAUCCUUCAGAGAACCACCUCCACCACUCAAUAAAACCCUGCAUUCAACCUUCAAGCCCAUGUGUGGCCUGAUUCUUCCAGGAUGCUGGGCAAG
RNAcentral lists this long non-coding RNA (682 nucleotides) under Homo sapiens (human). Its description in RNAcentral is "HSALNT0315231". Lineage: Eukaryota; Metazoa; Chordata; Mammalia; Primates; Hominidae. The record is from RNAcentral.